CCACUCCUGAUCGAAGAGACGUACCAUCAUUCACUGUAUAGGUACUCAUGGUUCCUGAAGUCUGGCAGUGAAGUCUUCUUCCAAGCAGCGACCUCUUCUAUCUUUAUCCAGGACCGCGGAACUGAAGACCGGCGACCGAGGAACCAUGGAGCGUAGAUGAUCCACUUCAUACGAUCGCUGUACACUGAAUAGUGAAUUUAAGGUUCAGGAAUUCUUCAACUUUUUUUUUUGGAUAAUAUAUUAUUGAGUCACCGGCACUAAAUUUGUCUUUAUACACACUUUAUUUAUUUUACACCAGUUUUUAACUACCACCUCUCUUUUUUGGUAGCACCUUACAUCAUUUUUGGAAGCACGAUUUAUUGUAUAUCCUUUUUUACUACGAUUUUUUCAGCACAGAACACUCGCAGGGAUCAAUUGCUCACUGUUUUGUUGAACUUUGGAUAUUUAUCAUUUUAUCAUUGACUAUUUUAAUAUUGACUAUUCUAUUCACACUGAUUUUGAAGACACAUAUUUGUGGUUUGCCAUUUUUUUGGAUUCAUUUCAGGAUUUA
Long non-coding RNA from Bombina bombina (fire-bellied toad), 550 nucleotides. RefSeq lists it as uncharacterized. Lineage: Eukaryota; Metazoa; Chordata; Amphibia; Anura; Bombinatoridae. The record is from RefSeq and is a predicted model, not a curated record. The transcript has 3 exons.